CUACGGGGCGCUGCAGUGAGGAAUAUUGGACAAUGGGCGCAAGCCUGAUCCAGCCAUGCCGCGUGCAGGAUGAAGCAUCUAUGGUGUGUAAACUGCUUUUGUACGAGAAGAAACACUGCUUCGUGAAGCAGCUUGACGGUAUCGUAAGAAUAAGGAUCGGCUAACUCCGUGCCAGCAGCCGCGGUAAUACGGAGGAUCCAAGCGUUAUCCGGAAUCAUUGGGUUUAAAGGGUCCGUAGGCGGGCUAGUAAGUCAGUGGUGAAAUCUCUCGGCUCAACCGGGAAAUGGCCAUUGAUACUGCUAGUCUUGAAUUAUUAGGAAGUAACUAGAAUAUGUAGUGUAGCGGUGAAAUGCUUAGAGAUUACAUGGAAUACCAAUUGCGAAGGCAGGUUACUACUAAUGGAUUGACGCUGAUGGACGAAAGCGUGGGUAGCGAACAGGAUUAGAUACCCCCGUAGUC
This 459-nucleotide ribosomal RNA is filed under the name uncultured bacterium. RNAcentral describes it as "partial 16S ribosomal RNA". It matches the Rfam family "Bacterial small subunit ribosomal RNA", at positions 339 to 795 of the family's 1533-position model. The record is from RNAcentral.